CCAAUAGCGUAUAUUAAAGUUGUUGCAGUUAAAAAGCUCGUAGUUGAAUUUCGGGAUCAAUGCGUCGGUCGUGCCUUCGGUACGUACUAGCGUCAUUGAUUCCUCCCUUCUGAAGAACCGUGAUGUCAUUAAUUUGGUGUUACGGGGAAUCAGGACUGUUACCUUGAAAAAAUUAGAGUGUUUAAAGCAGGCUAACGCUUGAAUACAUUAGCAUGGAAUAAUGAAAUAGGACGUUCGAACCUAUUUUGUUGGUUUCUAGGAUCGACGUAAUGAUUAAUAGGGAUAGUUGGGGGGAUUAGUAUUCAAUUGUCAGAGGUGAAAUUCUUGGAUUUAUUGAAGACUGACUACUGCGAAAGCAUUUGCCAAGGAUGUUUUCAUUAAUCAAGAACGAAAGUUAGGGGAUCGAAGACGAUCAGAUACCGUCGUAGUCUUAACCAUAAACUAUGCCGACUAGGGAUCGGAUGAUGUUAAUUUUAUAAUGACUCAUUCGGCGCCUUACGGGAAACCAAAGGUUUGGGUUC
This 521-nucleotide ribosomal RNA is filed under the name uncultured Glomus. RNAcentral describes it as "SSU rRNA". It matches the Rfam family "Eukaryotic small subunit ribosomal RNA", at positions 591 to 1114 of the family's 1831-position model. The record is from RNAcentral. Lineage: Eukaryota; Fungi; Glomeromycota; Glomeromycetes; Glomerales; Glomeraceae.